GCGGCAGUGGUGGAAUUGGUAGACACGCAAGCUUGAGGUGCUUGUGAGGUAACACUUGUGCUGGUUCAAGUCCAGUCUGCCGCA
RNAcentral lists this transfer RNA (84 nucleotides) under Spirochaetales bacterium. RNAcentral's name for it is "tRNA-Leu". It matches the Rfam family "tRNA". Rfam says of the family: Transfer RNA (tRNA) molecules are approximately 80 nucleotides in length. Their secondary structure includes four short double-helical elements and three loops (D, anti-codon, and T loops). The record is from RNAcentral. Lineage: Bacteria; Pseudomonadati; Spirochaetota; Spirochaetia; Spirochaetales.